RNAcentral lists this long non-coding RNA (221 nucleotides) under Lathyrus oleraceus (garden pea). RNAcentral describes it as "Pisum sativum (pea) long non-coding RNA (PSAT_LNC027872)". Lineage: Eukaryota; Viridiplantae; Streptophyta; Magnoliopsida; Fabales; Fabaceae. The record is from RNAcentral.
GAUGAAGAGACUAAUCUUAUGCAAAAAAUUAAAAGUUAAGGGUUGAAAAUAUCUGACCAAUGGGUAGCAAUCCAAUAGACAAGAAUGUCAAUAGAAACCCAAAUUCCCUUGGACAAUUAGAAUCAAGCAACACACAAAUGCACAAUUAUAUCAAUCUUGAAGAGCAAGGCAAUAAAUAAAGAUAGCCACAUCCAAGCUUUAGCCACUCCAUGAUCUUCUUC